UACGUAGGGUCCAAGCGUUGUCCGGAUUUAUUGGGUUUAAAGGGUGCGUAGGCGGUCCUAUAAGUCAGUUGUGAAAUACGGCAGCUUAACUGUCGAGGUGCAAUUGAUACUGCAGGACUUGAGUACAGACGAGGUAGGCGGAAUUGACGGUGUAGCGGUGAAAUGCUUAGAUAUCGUCAAGAACACCGAUAGCGAAGGCAGCUUACUAGACUGUAACUGACGCUGAUGCACGAAAGUGUGGGGAUCAAACAGG
RNAcentral lists this ribosomal RNA (253 nucleotides) under uncultured bacterium. RNAcentral's name for it is "partial 16S ribosomal RNA". It matches the Rfam family "Bacterial small subunit ribosomal RNA", at positions 524 to 776 of the family's 1533-position model. The record is from RNAcentral.